CUUAACUGAUAAACAUGGUGAUGAAGGGAAAUUAAGUUUAGCAUAUGCUGCAGAAGCACAAAAGCUUCCAAAUGUGAGAUAUGUGUCAUUUGACUUUCAUCAUAUUUGUGGCAACUCAAACUUUGAUAACCUACAGAUUCUGUAUGAUCAAAUCUCAGAGGAAUUCCAAAAACAAGGAUACUUCAUCAUAGACGCGGAAGAAAAAAUAUUAGAGGAGCAGAAAGGGAUAAUUAGAUCUAAUUGCAUUGAUUGCCUUGAUCGAACAAAUGUUACCCAGAGUUAUCUAGCUCAGAAGUCUUUGACUGCACAAAUGCAAAGAAUAGGAGUACUUGCUUCUAAUGAGUGCAUUUCUAUGUUCAGUGAGGAUUAUGGAAAGUUCAGAAGAUUGUGGGCCGAGCAAGGUGAUGAGAUAAGCCUUGAAUACACUGGAACUUAUGCCCUGAAAGGAGACCUGGUUAGAUAUGGAAGACAGACUUUACGCGGAAUAAUCAAAGAUGGUAUGAGUGCUCUUUCAAGAUAUUAUUUGAAUAAUUUUCAAGAUGGAGUUCGACAGGACGCAUUGGAUCUUAUAAGUGGCCACUAUACUGUGAACAGAAAUGGUCCAUCACCAUUCCAGCUUAAUGGAUUCGAAUCGCUCUCUUAUCUCCCAGUGGCAUCGGCUUUGGUUAUCGGAGGUUUGACACUUACUUCCUUCACCCUUCAACAAGCGGGGCGAAAUGUACAAUGUUAUUUGUCUACUGUGC
RNAcentral lists this unclassified non-coding RNA (743 nucleotides) under Hevea brasiliensis (rubber tree). Lineage: Eukaryota; Viridiplantae; Streptophyta; Magnoliopsida; Malpighiales; Euphorbiaceae. The record is from RNAcentral.